RNAcentral lists this transfer RNA (71 nucleotides) under Taenia martis (marten tapeworm). Its description in RNAcentral is "tRNA-His". Lineage: Eukaryota; Metazoa; Platyhelminthes; Cestoda; Cyclophyllidea; Taeniidae. The record is from RNAcentral.
UUACUAAUAGGUUAUGUAAACUAGUAGAUUGUGGUUCUAUUGAAUACUUAUGAUUAAUUUGUAUUAGUAAA